GUGUGAAAUCGGCAACCUCAGCGACCGAAUGAACCAUCGCCGGCGAUGCGCCGGCGGAUAAAAGCGUGUUGGCCACGAGGUCCAUUGAGACGAAGUUGGUGAUGCACUGAACCAGCGGCGAUUGUCGCCGGACGGCCGUAAGGUGCGUCCACACGCCGGAGCUCCAUUCUUUUGAUUCCAUUCUGCUUAACCAAUCGUCAAUCACGAUUCAAUUAUAUAUCAGAAACACGGUUUGGUUUUAAUUUCAUAAAGCCGAGAAUUUUUAUACCGGUUCAGACCCAACCAAAUAAUGCAAUUAAACCGGGAGGACACAGAGCGUACUGAAUUCUUAGCCAAACUAACUCUUGCAGAAGACUUGUACUCGAACACAGCUUCAUGAACGACUUCUAUUUAACGUUCGAGCUUCACUGAAACUACAUCUUUACUAAAUAAAAGCAGCUAAACUGAAGAAAACAAAUCCUUCAUUAUGUGCUUGCUUGUUUGCUCAUGGUUGAAAAUUUAGUAGUCCAAGUUGGUGAUGCACUGAACCAACGGCGAUUGUCGCCGGACGGCCGUGAGGUGCGUCCACACGCCGGAGCUCCAUUCUUUUGAUUCCAUUCUGCUUAACCAAUCGUCAAUCACGAUUCAAUU
RNAcentral lists this long non-coding RNA (630 nucleotides) under Brassica napus (rape). RNAcentral describes it as "long non-coding RNA (BNAP_LNC005788)". Lineage: Eukaryota; Viridiplantae; Streptophyta; Magnoliopsida; Brassicales; Brassicaceae. The record is from RNAcentral.